Molecule: non-coding RNA, 265 nt
Organism: Neolamprologus brichardi
Lineage: Eukaryota; Metazoa; Chordata; Actinopteri; Cichliformes; Cichlidae
Source: RefSeq, a predicted model, not a curated record
GCUCAGGCUCUUAGUUUCAAAGCUCAUGUCCUGCCUCUGGUCACAUGUGUCACUGUGCUGUUUGCUGCUGUUGUGUUGCUCUUCUACAAAUGGAUCAGAAUAAGGGAGACUGAUGGUUUGACCACCAGGAGGCAGUCAGACACAAAGAACAACACAAGCAGAAACCUGGAGUUUUCCACAUGCAGGAAGUGCUCUCCAGUCUCUAGAUGUGCAGACUUCACCCCCCCCAGUGGAUGAAACCUGCAGCAGUCAUAAUAAAAUCUAC